RNAcentral lists this ribosomal RNA (653 nucleotides) under uncultured Pseudomonadota bacterium. RNAcentral describes it as "bacterial SSU rRNA". It matches the Rfam family "Bacterial small subunit ribosomal RNA", at positions 8 to 639 of the family's 1533-position model. Lineage: Bacteria; Pseudomonadati; Pseudomonadota. The record is from RNAcentral.
AGAGUUUGAUCCUGGCUCAGAAUGAACGCCGCGGCGUGCUUAACACAUGCAAUCGAACGAGAAAGCUUUAGCUUGCUAGAGCGAGUAAAGUGGCGCACGGGUGAGUAACGCGUGGGUAAUCUGCCUUCGAAUUUGGGAUAACACCCCGAAAGGGGUGCUAAUACCGGAUAAUAUCUUUUUCAUUGCGGUGGAGAAGAUCAAAGACAGCCUCUACAUGUAAGCUGUUGUUUGAAGAUGAGCCCGCGUACCAUUAGCUUGUUGGUGGGGUAAUGGCCUACCAAGGCGACGAUGGUUAGCUGGUCUGAGAGGAUGAUCAGCCACACUGGAACCGGAACACCGUCCAGACUCCUACGGGAGGCAGCAGUGAGGAAUUUUGCGCAAUGGGCGAAAGCCUGACGCAGCAACGCCGCGUGAGUGAUGAAGGAUUUCGGUUCGUAAAGCUCUGUCAAGUGGGAAGAAGUUAUCAUAAGUUAAUAGCGUAUGGUAUUGACGGUACCACUGAAGGAAGCACCGGCUAACUCCGUGCCAGCAGCCGCGGUAUACGGAGGGUGCAAGCGUUAUUCGGAUUUACUGGGCGUAAAGGGCGCGUAGCGGCCGAAUAAGUCAGAUGUGAAAGCCCGGGCUCAACCCCGAAGUGCAUUUGAAAUUAUUUG